This 429-nucleotide ribosomal RNA is filed under the name uncultured Paracoccaceae bacterium. Its description in RNAcentral is "bacterial SSU rRNA". It matches the Rfam family "Bacterial small subunit ribosomal RNA", at positions 29 to 505 of the family's 1533-position model. The record is from RNAcentral. Lineage: Bacteria; Pseudomonadati; Pseudomonadota; Alphaproteobacteria; Rhodobacterales; Paracoccaceae.
AACGAACGCUGGCGGCAGGCCUAACACAUGCAAGUCGAGCGCGCCUUCGGGUGAGCGGCGGACGGGUGAGUAACGCGUGGGAAUAUACCCUUCUCUGCGGAAUAGCCUCUGGAAACGGAGAGUAAUACCGCAUACGCCCUUCGGGGGAAAGAUUUAUCGGAGAAGGGUUAGCCCGCGUUAGAUUAGAUAGUUGGUGGGGUAACGGCCUACCAAGUCUACGAUCUAUAGCUGGUUUUAGAGGACGAUCAGCCACACUGGGACUGAGACACGGCCCAGACUCCUACGGGAGGCAGCAGUGGGGAAUCUUAGACAAUGGGCGAAAGCCUGAUCUAGCCAUGCCGCGUGAGUGAUGAAGGCCUUAGGGUCGUAAAGCUCUUUCGCCAGGGAUGAUAAUGACAGUACCUGGUAAAGAAACCCCGGCUAACUCCG